GCGAGCCUCUCCCGUUCCCGAUCGCCGGGAUCGUGUGAGGGGAGCGGGAACUCCGUGCCCCAAAUCCCACUAAAACUUCUCUUUUCCCGGCUUUCAGGUCAGAGCCAUGCGCUCGUUUGGUGUUUCCCUAACUGGACAGGGAGAAAGACAAAGUGUUUGCCUGUGGGAGAAACGUUCCUCGUGGCCGUAAAAUCGGAAUUGUUCUCUGCGUCAAAUGAACGGUUUGAGCAGAGAAUUUGGUGUGUCAGCGUUUUCCAGCUCACGGAAUUCCGCGUUGAGAAUCUUCUAGGAAGCGCCCACAGGGUGCUCCACCACUUGUAGUCCAGUUUCAUGGACUGUUUAGUGAAAACAUAAAGUCAUCAGUGGAAGGAGACAGCGACCACCCUCGGGUGGUUCCUACCGGUAAGGUUGUCAGGGAUGGUGGAAUUUAAUAAACAACUCUCUGCUGCUGCUCACAGAGGCCCACUGGCAUCUUCCAGGGUUUGCUGGGAAGGGAGGCAGGACGUAACAAAAUGUCAGUAAAACUCAUUGUUGAGCUGUGUUGUGUUCGGAGUAGAAAAAAGUUUAGCUGGUUCUGGUUCAUAUAAUUUGGAGACAGAAAUAAAAAUAAAGCCUUUUGCUUCUCAAGGUGGAAAGCAUGACUAACUAAGAAUGUGACUCAAGGAAAGGUGUUUGCUUUAGGUAUUAAUGAGAAAUGGCCAGUGUCUUUCAGCAAAAUAGCGUUUCUCUUUGGAAGUACUGACAUUACUGGGUGAAACUGGUUGGGCUGGGAUUUAAAAACAUAUAAAAGCCAGUGCUAGCCUACCUCUGUUCCCCAACACUGCCAUGCUCUCCCGGGCACACUCAUCUCUGUAAUUCCCCAUUAGUUACCCCUGUCUGUUUUUCCCCGCUUGUCCUCAGGCCAGCGGGACAGCUGUGUGCUGGAGGGGCAUGGGGGUUUUUUUGGCUUGCUCUGUGUGGGUUUGACUUGGAUUUGUUUGAUUGUUGGACUUGUUCACACACGGCUGUCUGUCAUUGGGAAAGGAGGAGGGAGAGGAGCUGUGACAGUAAAAGCCAGUGAGCCACUGUUGCUACAUUUAACACUUGUACAUUUUUAUUUAGUUAAAUCAGCCAUUGUACACAUUGCAGCUAUGUAUUGUUAGUGUUGUAUGUUUUUAAUUUUUAACUAAUACAUGCCCUCAUAGAUAUAUUCAAUUAGUGUUAUCACCAUGGGAACAAGAUGCUGAUUCGUCAACUUAAAAUUCACUUCUUCUCACAGUAUUCAAGUUCUCUGAUAACACAGCAAAAAAUCAAAAUAAGAGGUGAAUAACCAUUAUGCUGUUACACAGAACAUCAUCUGCACCGCAAAUAACACAACAGAAAUGCAUUUCUUGAGAGCCCCAUCCUUGAAGACCCUCCUGUGCUGUCUCGGACAGUCAGGAAGCCACGAUGCGCUGUGAGAUGUUUCGCCACGGGUCUCGUUCGGUUUGGCUGCCAAAACACUUUUUUUUUUUCUCUCAGUUUCCUUUCUUGCCUGCCCAAAAAGUGUCAGCACGGCACCUCGGGUGGUUCUGCCCACAGGAAGCCAGAACUCCAGAGAUGUUUCCAUGCUUUUGGCAUCAUUACCUUAAUGAGGAAGUGCCCUUGUUCUGAGCACUGAGUGAGUCGUUAAAAAAAGCCCAAAGAACCCUAUAAUUGUAGAAGGCCA
Molecule: long non-coding RNA, 1687 nt
Organism: Cyanistes caeruleus (blue tit)
Lineage: Eukaryota; Metazoa; Chordata; Aves; Passeriformes; Paridae
Source: RefSeq, a predicted model, not a curated record